This 656-nucleotide ribosomal RNA is filed under the name uncultured bacterium. Its description in RNAcentral is "bacterial SSU rRNA". It matches the Rfam family "Bacterial small subunit ribosomal RNA", at positions 110 to 753 of the family's 1533-position model. The record is from RNAcentral.
GUAACACGUGGGCAACCUGCCCUGCAGAUCGGGAUAACUCCGGGAAACCGGUGCUAAUACCGAAUAGUUUUUUGCCCCUCCUGGGGCAGAACGGAAAGACGGUUUCGGCUGUCACUGCAGGAUGGGCCCGCGGCGCAUUAGCUAGUUGGUGGGGUAACGGCCUACCAAGGCGACGAUGCGUAGCCGACCUGAGAGGGUGAUCGGCCACACUGGGACUGAGACACGGCCCAGACUCCUACGGGAGGCAGCAGUAGGGAAUCUUCCGCAAUGGACGAAAGUCUGACGGAGCAAUGCCGCGUGAGUGACGAAGGUUUUCGGAUCGUAAAACUCUGUUGUAAGGGAAGAACAAGUACCAAGUAACUACUGGUACCUUGACGGUACCUUACCAGAAAGCCACGGCUAACUACGUGCCAGCAGCCGCGGUAAUACGUAGGUGGCAAGCGUUGUCCGGAAUUAUUGGGCGUAAAGCGCGCGCAGGCGGUCCCUUAAGUCUGAUGUGAAAGCCCACGGCUCAACCGUGGAGGGUCAUUGGAAACUGGGGGACUUGAGUGCAGAAGAGGAAAGUGGAAUUCCAUGUGUAGCGGUGAAAUGCGUAGAGAUGUGGAGGAACACCAGUGGCGAAGGCGACUUUCUGGUCUGUAACUGACGCUGAGGCG